RNAcentral lists this ribosomal RNA (524 nucleotides) under uncultured bacterium. Its description in RNAcentral is "partial 16S ribosomal RNA". It matches the Rfam family "Bacterial small subunit ribosomal RNA", at positions 28 to 523 of the family's 1533-position model. The record is from RNAcentral.
GACGAACGCUGGCGGCGUGCCUAAUACAUGCAAGUCGAGCGCAGGAAACCGACGGAACCCUUCGGGGGGAAGCCGACGGAAUGAGCGGCGGACGGGUGAGUAACACGUAAAGAACCUGCCCUCAGGUCUGGGAUAACCACGAGAAAUCGGGGCUAAUACCGGAUGGGUCAUCGGACCGCAUGGUCCGAGGAUGAAAGGCGCUUCGGCGUCGCCUGGGGAUGGCUUUGCGGUGCAUUAGCUAGUUGGUGGGGUAAUGGCCCACCAAGGCGACGAUGCAUAGCCGACCUGAGAGGGGGAUCGGCCACACUGGGACUGGGACACGGCCCAGACUCCUACGGGAGGCAGCAGUAGGGAAUCUUCCACAAUGGACGAAAGUCUGAUGGAGCAACGCCGCGUGAACGAUGAAGGCCUUCGGGUCGUAAAGUUCUGUUGUAAGGGAAGAACAAGUGCCGCAGGCAAUGGCGGCACCUUGACGGUACCUUGCGAGAAAGCCACGGCUAACUACGUGCCAGCCGCCGCCGUAA